RNAcentral lists this ribosomal RNA (255 nucleotides) under uncultured bacterium. Its description in RNAcentral is "partial 16S ribosomal RNA". It matches the Rfam family "Bacterial small subunit ribosomal RNA", at positions 99 to 354 of the family's 1533-position model. The record is from RNAcentral.
CGGACGGGUGAGUAACGCGUGGGUAACCUGCCCUGUACAGGGGGACAACAGUUAGAAAUGGCUGCUAAUACCGCAUAAGCGCACAGCUUCGCAUGAAGCAGUGUGAAAAACUCCGGUGGUAUACGAUGGAUCCGCGUCUGAUUAGCUUGUUGGCGGGGUAAAGGCCCACCAAGGCGACGAUCAGUAGCCGGCCUGAGAGGGUGAACGGCCACAUUGGGACUGAGACACGGCCCAAACUCCUACGGAAGGCAGCAG